AAGGAUCAUUGUCAAAACCUGCUCAGCAAAACAACCCGCAAACAAGUGAAAACAAACCCAGACGGACAGAGGAGGGGCUCGUUCCCCUGAUCGCUCGUCCGCCAGACCACGGCCCCCUCGGCAUCCGCAGCGAUGCUGCAGGCAGACGGGGCAGACCAUCGCGUCUGCGCAAAACCUAAAAUCCGGUGCGAUACACGCCAAGGAAAAUAUAAGUAGAAAGAGAGGAUUGUCCCCGUGCGCGGGGGUGUUCCUCGGAAUCCGAUACUCGAACGACUCUCGGCAACGAAUAUCUCGACUCUUGCAUCGAUAAAGAACAUAGCGAAAUGCGAUACUUGGUAUGAAUUUUAGAAUCACGUGAACCAUCGAGUCUUUGAACGAAAGUUGCGCCCGAGGCCAUUAGGUCGAGGGCACGUCUGCAUGGGCGUCAACACAGUGUCGCACCUCGCCAACCAAAAUGUCGGGGAGCGGCGUUGCGGGCACGAUCGGCACAAAUGUUGGUCACCGGCGGCGAUCGUCAUGGUCAGCAGUGGUUGUACCUCUCAUCCUCCAAAGACACAAAAGACAUGUCGACCCCAUCGUAUGUCGGGACAUACCGACCCCUACGGAGUCGCCCCUGGCGGCACUCCAACCUGCGACCCCAGGUCAGGCGGGAUCACCCGCUGAGUUUAA
RNAcentral lists this ribosomal RNA (669 nucleotides) under Staphisagria macrosperma. RNAcentral describes it as "eukaryotic LSU rRNA". The stretch from base 272 to 427 matches the Rfam family "5.8S ribosomal RNA". The record is from RNAcentral. Lineage: Eukaryota; Viridiplantae; Streptophyta; Magnoliopsida; Ranunculales; Ranunculaceae.